This 69-nucleotide transfer RNA is filed under the name Platyplectrum melanopyga (Wokan cannibal frog). RNAcentral's name for it is "tRNA-Val". The record is from RNAcentral. Lineage: Eukaryota; Metazoa; Chordata; Amphibia; Anura; Limnodynastidae.
CGAAAUGUAGUAUAACUAAAACUACUUGCUUACACCAAGCCGAUAUCUGUGAAACUCGGAUCAUUUCGA